RNAcentral lists this long non-coding RNA (383 nucleotides) under Ricinus communis (castor bean). RNAcentral's name for it is "long non-coding RNA (RCOM_LNC001049)". Lineage: Eukaryota; Viridiplantae; Streptophyta; Magnoliopsida; Malpighiales; Euphorbiaceae. The record is from RNAcentral.
CUCCAUCAAACACAUUUGCACAGACAUCUGCUAGUCCCUUUUCUUCUUCAGUUUCUUCCAAUCCGUUUUCUUCAAAGCCUUUUGGACCUACAAGUAAUCCUACAUUUCCUUCACCUUUUAACACUUCAUCCAACCCUUUUCAGUCAACCUCAGCUUUUGCAUCGACAUCAUCUUCUGCAUUUACAUCCAGUGUAGCCCCAUCACCUUUUGGGACAACUAGUUCAUCUGCUUUUACUUCAACACCAUCCUUGUUUAAUUCUAGCAUAGGGCAGACAAAUUCUUCACCUUUUGGAAAUUUUACAAGUACUCAAUCAUCUCUCUCAUUCCCAUCCUCCACACCUGCCUUUACACAGACAAGUUCUCCAUUUGGACAAGUGACCACU